RNAcentral lists this ribosomal RNA (769 nucleotides) under uncultured bacterium. RNAcentral describes it as "bacterial SSU rRNA". It matches the Rfam family "Bacterial small subunit ribosomal RNA", at positions 61 to 846 of the family's 1533-position model. The record is from RNAcentral.
GUCGAACGGAGUGAAGAUGCUUGCAUCUGAACUUAGUGGCGGACGGGUGAGUAACACGUGAGCAACCUGCCUUUCAGAGGGGGAUAACGUUUGGAAACGAACGCUAAUACCGCAUAAAAUAUCGGAGUCGCAUGGCACUGAUAUCAAAGGAGCAAUCCGCUGAAAGAUGGGCUCGCGUCCGAUUAGGCAGUUGGCGGGGUAACGGCCCACCAAACCGACAAUCGGUAGCCGGACUGAGAGGUUGAACGGCCACAUUGGGACUGAGACACGGCCCAGACUCCUACGGGAGGCAGCAGUGGGGGAUAUUGCACAAUGGGGGAAACCCUGAUGCAGCGAUGCCGCGUGAAUGAAGACGGCCUUCGGGUUGUAAAGUUCUGUCGCAGGGGACGAAAAUGACGGUACCCUGCAAGAAAGCUCCGGCUAACUACGUGCCAGCAGCCGCGGUAAUACGUAGGGAGCAAGCGUUGUCCGGAAUUACUGGGUGUAAAGGGAGCGUAGGCGGGAGGAUAAGUUGAAUGUGAAAUCUAUGGGCUCAACCCAUAGCUGCGUUCAAAACUGUUCUUCUUGAGUGAAGUAGAGGCAGGCGGAAUUCCUAGUGUAGCGGUGAAAUGCGUAGAUAUUAGGAGGAACACCAGUGGCGAAGGCGGCCUGCUGGGCUUUUACUGACGCUGAGGCUCGAAAGCGUGGGUAGCAAACAGGAUUAGAUACCCUGGUAGUCCACGCGGUAAACGAUGAUUACUAGGUGUGGGUGGACUGACCCCAUCCGUGC